Molecule: ribosomal RNA, 473 nt
Filed under: uncultured bacterium
Lineage: Bacteria
Description: SSU rRNA
Rfam family: Bacterial small subunit ribosomal RNA
Source: RNAcentral
AGGACGAACGCUGGCGGCGUGCUUAACACAUGCAAGUCGAGCGGAAAGGCCCUUCGGGGUACUCGAGCGGCGAACGGGUGAGUAACACGUGAGUAAUCUGCCCCUAGCUCUGGGAUAGCUCCGGGAAACCGGGAUUAAUACCGGAUACGACCACUUUAGACAUCUUUUUUGGUGGAAAGAAUUUCGGCUAGGGAUGAGCUCGCGGCCUAUCAGCUUGUUGGUGGGGUAACGCCUACCAAGGCGACGACGGGUAGCCGGCCUGAGAGGGCGACCGGCCACACUGGGACUGAGACACGGCCCAGACUCCUACGGGAGGCAGCAGUGGGGAAUAUUGCGCAAUGGGCGAAAGCCUGACGCAGCGACGCCGCGUGGGGGAUGAAGGCCUUCGGGUUGUAAACCCCUUUCAGCAGGGACGAAGCGAAAGUGACGGUACCUGCAGAAGAAGCACCGGCCAACUACGUGCCAGCAGCCGC